UACAUGAUUAUGAGUUUAAGUUUUUUCAUAUUAUUUAAUUAAUUAAUGAAUUUGUGUGGUUUCUUUUUAGGAAAGGGAGAUUUAAUAACAUGUUCUAAGCAAAAGAAUUCAGAGUUAUUUCACGCGGUUCUUGGAGGCUUAGGACAAUUUGGAGUUAUAACAAGAGCAAGAAUUUCUCUUCACCCAGCACCCACAAAGGAUAACAAUGAAGAUUAAGCAAUGAAGAGUAAGCUGACUAUUAUUGUGGUUUUUUGGCUAAGAUAGAGUGCUAUUUAGGAUCUUUACAUGUAUGGUUGACUAAUGAUUUUUAUUAGAAGAUACCUUUAUUGGCCAAGUGAUAUUAUGGUUUUGAUAUGGCUAUGCUUACUUUAAUUUGAGUUGUAUGAAUUUUUACAGUUAAUUUCAUUCUAGUACUUUUGGAUCAAUGUUAUAAAUAUAUUUUGGUUAGAGACAAUUUUUAUUAUAUAAAGAAAUUAUUUAGUAUAAUUA
Molecule: long non-coding RNA, 489 nt
Organism: Arachis duranensis
Lineage: Eukaryota; Viridiplantae; Streptophyta; Magnoliopsida; Fabales; Fabaceae
Exons: 2
Source: RefSeq, a predicted model, not a curated record